GGGGGAGGGUUGGUGUCAGCAGUUCAAGACUGUCUUUCCUACCCUCUUCAGUGCCUUUUUCUGUAAUAUGAAGUUAGAACCAAGUACUGUUAUUACUUAACUGAUUUUUGGUUCUUAUGAAGGUGCUUUUUUGUGUGGAUGGUUGUUCAAUUUGGUGUUCUUGCAGGGAGGAUAAUCCUUGAAGGUUUCUAUUUAGCCAUCUUGCUCUGCCUCUUGCUCCUAUAACAUUUUUAGAAAAGAAAAUGGAUAUUUUAAUUAGAAGCAACUGAUUCUACUACUAAAUUAACAUUGCUUGGGUCCACAUUUUGCACACUAAAACAUUCACAGAAAGAGUUCUUAUAUUUGUAACUGUACUUAAUAGGUAGGAAGAUUUUAAAGUGUACAAUAUUAAACAUUGUUUAUAUGAAUAUUGGAGAUUCUUACUUCAAACAUUUUUGUAAUGUUUCCACUUAAAUAUCAAUUACCAGGCAGACUCUUACCAGUGAUAACAUUCUUGGGAAUUUGCAGGAUCCCUUUUUGACCAAAAAUGAACCACAAGGCACUUAUAAACCCCGUGAGCUUGGACAGGAAAUGGGAAUUUGAAUCAAUAACUCUGCUGGAGUCACACCAGCUAUUGGCAAGGUACAAAGGAGAUACGUGGAUGAGAGGCUUUUGGAAUUCUGCCACUCUUGUUUGAAUAUGAGGCACAUGGCCACAGCUCAUGCUUUCCUAGCAGCACAGCUGCUGGAGGCAUAUCAUCUCUAGCCACACACAGUACUUGAUCUCCUCCACUGCAAGGUAAGAGUGGGUCUAUUGAAAGACAAGUGUUUGACCAGAGGUUGCAACUUUUGCUUCAGGGCUGCAUGUUUUAUGGAUUUUAGCACAGAACAUAUCUUUCUUUUUUCUAUUUUUGAGGCAGGGUUUCACUCUGUCACACAGGCUUGGAGUGCAGAGACAUAAUCAUAGCUCACUGCAGCCUCGAUCUCCUGGGCUCAAAUAAUCCUUCCACCUCAGCUUCCCAAGUAGCUGGGACCACAGGCCCACAGGCCCACACACCACCAUACCUGGCUAACUUUUGUAUUAUUAUUAUUAUUAUUAUUAUUAUUAUUAUUAUUUUGUAGAGAUAGGGUUUUACUGUACUGCCCAGGCUGAUCUAGAACUCCUAGGCUUAAGAGAUCCACCCACCAACUCAGCCUCCCUAACUGCUGGGAUUACAGGCGUGAGCCACUGCAUCCAGCCCAACAUACCCUUUUCAUCUUGGUCUUUCUGCACAAUGCAGUUAAAAACCACAUUGCAGUUUUUAUAGCCAUAGUAAUCUUGAAGGACUGUUGAAAAUAUGUGAGAAAUGUCUUCAGACCUUGUAUAUAGUAGGAUGCUAUUAGUGUGAUUAAGAUCCUACAGAAUAUGAUUUAGUCCCAUGUAUAAUCUAAUCUACAUCCAACUCAGUUCAAGUGUUUAGCACAGAGAUGAAGAAUGGGGAAUUAUUAUGAAGAGGAGUUGAAUUUCAACUUCAAAAAAGUACAGCAGUUAGUGACACUGGGCAUAUACUAAGAAACAGUUCACGACAUAUAGGUAGGCCUUGGAGAUAUCAUGGGUUAAGUUCCAAACCACCGCAAUAAAGCAAAUAUCACAAUAAAGAGAGCCACGUGAAUUUUUUUGUUUUCCAGAGCAUACAAAAGUUAUGUUUACACUUAUACUAUAGGUUAUGAAGUGUGCAAUAGUAUUAUGCCAAAAGAGUAAGUUAUUAAUUAAAAAUAUUUUAUUGCUAAAAAUUGAUAUCAUCUGAAACUUCAUUG
Molecule: long non-coding RNA, 1775 nt
Organism: Macaca mulatta (Rhesus monkey)
Lineage: Eukaryota; Metazoa; Chordata; Mammalia; Primates; Cercopithecidae
Source: Ensembl